Homo sapiens (human) is the source of this 356-nucleotide long non-coding RNA. RefSeq lists it as uncharacterized. Lineage: Eukaryota; Metazoa; Chordata; Mammalia; Primates; Hominidae. The transcript has 3 exons. The record is from RefSeq and is a predicted model, not a curated record.
CAGGUUGGACAAGUUUGGUUUAAGUUUCCUUUCAUUGACCCAAACUUCUAGGCCUUUGUAUCUAGAGAAACCCAAGCCUACCUUCACCUGGGGAGUGGUGAUCUGAUUACCCUCCUGCAACAUCAGUAAAACUAUGGGUACUCCAGCAGCAAGAAUGUUGUGUCCCCAGCGCAAGUGGGAUGGAGAAAAGAGCCUGCUGCGAGGCUGCGUUGGUGUGUGGUCCACUGACAGACACUGGGAAGAUACCUUCUUCAUGUUUCGAGACAAGGUGGCCACAUGUGACCUCAGAGAUGGCAUUUUCAAUAGUGGAAUGUGAGGUACUGUGCUGGGGUAAAGAUGGAAUGACUUACCUGCUA